RNAcentral lists this long non-coding RNA (248 nucleotides) under Salvia miltiorrhiza (redroot sage). RNAcentral describes it as "long non-coding RNA (SMIL_LNC001012)". The record is from RNAcentral. Lineage: Eukaryota; Viridiplantae; Streptophyta; Magnoliopsida; Lamiales; Lamiaceae.
ACGUUCUCUGCUUCAGCCUUCUCGUUUGUAGUAGUCCUCAUAGCUCAUCGACUCCCAUCUACUUGAUCCGCCAAGAUGAUAAACUCAAUCACAAUAAUGAACUGGAGAUUAAAAAAAUCCGGCAACAUGUGAGUUACAUAAGUAAUCUUCAAGAUCUCAAUGUUCUAUCUAUAUUGUUAAAAUGAGAAGAAGAUUACCCUGCACCAACACGAGCGAGUUCACUUGCAAAACAUAGCCAACCCGAGCUU